RNAcentral lists this ribosomal RNA (322 nucleotides) under uncultured eukaryote. RNAcentral describes it as "partial 18S ribosomal RNA". It matches the Rfam family "Eukaryotic small subunit ribosomal RNA", at positions 1470 to 1796 of the family's 1831-position model. The record is from RNAcentral.
CCCUUAGAUGUCCUGGGCCGCACGCGCGCUACACUGACAUGUUCAACAAGUUUCUCCUAGUUCGACAGGACUGGGAAAUCUUUGAACGCAUGUCGUGAUAGGGAUAGAUCAUUGCAAUUAUUGAUCUUGAACGAGGAAUUCCUAGUAAACGCGAGUCAUCAGCUCGCAUUGAUUACGUCCCUGCCCUUUGUACACACCGCCCGUCGCACCUACCGAUUGAAUGUUUCGGUGAAGAUUCUGGAUAGGACUGAUUUGAUUUAUUUCAUUUCUGACCUAAAAGCUAUCUAAACCUCAACAUUUAGAGGAAGGUGAAGUCGUAACA